RNAcentral lists this long non-coding RNA (1949 nucleotides) under Octopus sinensis (East Asian common octopus). RNAcentral's name for it is "uncharacterized LOC118764290". Lineage: Eukaryota; Metazoa; Mollusca; Cephalopoda; Octopoda; Octopodidae. The record is from RNAcentral.
UAUAUCUAAAAUUAUCUAUACACUAUACAGAUACGUUAGGUUCUGCAGAUGUACAUGGGAGAAAUUUGUGUGAGAAAAAAAAUAUAUAUAUAUUUUUGUUGGGUAGUCUUAUUUUUCGUUGAAAAAUUUUUUUUGUAUAAAUUUUCUUUUUUUAAAAUAUAUAUAUUUAUAUAUAUUUGUUUUCCUUUCUACCCCUUUUUUUUUAGUUAUUAUUAUUUUUUUUUUUUAAACUUAAGACACUGGAAUAAAAUAAGUAUAACGAAGGACGAAGAAUUAAAAAUCCAGGUUCGAAAUGGAAAAAAAGAAACAGUCGCAGUGAUUAAGACUUCAAUGUAGAAGUGAAAGUGGGUGAAGAUGGUGGUGAUGGUGGUGGUGGUGAUGAUGGUGGUGGUGGUGGGGUGGUGGUGGUGAUGACGGCGACGUCGGGGGGAAGAAAUAAGAUGAAAUGCCAGAAGAUAAUUCUUUCUGAGUGAUGGAUGACUAGGAAACUAAAAUGGUGGUAGUAGUAGUAGUAGUAGUAGUAGUAGUAGUAGUAGAAGUAGUAGUAGUAUAGUAGUAGUAGAAGUAGUAGUAGUAGUAGUAGUAGUAGUAGUAGUAGUAGUAGUAGUACAACAACAACAACAAAGAGUAAGAAGUAGAGAGGGAAAGAGAGAAGAGAGAAAGAAAGGCAGAAUGGUGUUGGUGAUGAGAAUGCUGGCGAGAUUAUGAUAAACAAAGGUUAAAGAACGAAAGAGGAGCGAAAAGAAAUAAUGUUGUUACGAAGAAAGUUGAAAAAUAAAUAGAAUGACAGAGAAGGAUGAAAGAAUAAAAAUAAUAAUUUGGGGAAGGAAGAAGGAAACGAAGACAAGAUGACUAACGGAGAAAGAAUAGUAAUGACGAUAACUUAAUAACAGAAGCAGAAGUAAAAAGUGGGAGAAAUUAGAUGAUAUUAAAUUGAUGAAAAAGUGAAUAAAAGGAGGUAGACGAAAAUGUAAAGGAAAAGAAUAAAGUAGAUAGAAGUUAGGAAAGUAAGAACGAAAGGUAGACGAAGAGAUAGAAGAAAUUGAUGAAAGGACAAAAACCGUGGAUGAGAGACGAAAAUAGGUCAAAGAAAGAGGAAAUUAGACGAAGGAAAAUAUAUGCGGGUAAAAGGAGAAAGAAUUGGGCAAAAUAAGGAAGUAGAUGAAAUGAGAAGAAAUAACAAAAAAAAGAAGAAAGUAGACAAAAGAAGAAGAAAAUAGAAGAAAGAGGAAAGGAAAUGAAAGAAGUGGGAAUAACAUGCGAGGAGAAAGUAGACGAAAGAAAAAGAAAGUAGAUGAAAGAGAAAAACUUCAGAAGAAAGACGAUGAAAAAAAAUGUAGAUGAAAGAAGAAAGUAGCCAACCGUAGGAGAAAGUAAACAAAAUGAGAUGUAAAAAAAAAAGAAAGAAAAGUAGAAGACGAAAGUGGGGUGAAAGGUGGAGAAAGUAGGUGAAAUAAACAGGAGACAACGGAAGAAUGUUGGUGAGAACUAGAUAACAGCAGAUGAAAGAAUAAAAGGUGAACGACAGAAUGAAGAAUUAGUCAAAAAGAAGUAAGUGGACAGAAGCUGAAGUGGAUGAAUGAUUUGUUUUUUUAAAAGAUGAAAGAAGGGGGUAAUUGAAAGAAAGAAGUAGCUGUGUGAAAUUAGGGUCGGUUAGAUGAAAGUAUGGAGGGAGAAGAAGAAGAAAGAAGUGAAAGAAAGAUGAAGUAAGUAAUUUAAUGAAGGACGAACAAGUAGUUAAAAGAAGAGAAAAAUAAAUGAAAGAACAGGGUGAAUUUAAAAAAGCAUAAACACUUGGAAAGAUAGAGUUAAGUCUAAAGAAUAUGGAUGAAAACUAAAGAAGCUAGUUGACAGAGAAAGUUGAUGAAAGAUGAAACAAAAAGCCAAAAGAUGCAAGCCCUUGGCGAAAGAAUAGAUAAAAAAAGAAAUGAAACAAAAGAAGAGAGCAG